GCAAAAAAUGUUCCGAGAAUAGAAUACAAAAAAUAUAGUAAGUAUAUAUAAGAGAUUUGGUUUAGAAUUAAUCAUAACAAGUGAGACAUUCAUUACAAUCAUCAAUCAUGAUGUGCAAGUUAGUAUUGGUCACUUUGGUUGUAUACCUAUGCUUAGAAGCAGCAUAUGGACAGCAUUCUUAUGGAUUGAACCCUGGUCAGCGCCAUGCAACUGGCUUCAACCCCAAUCAAAAUCAGCGCCACGCUACUGGUUUCAAUCCAGGCCGCCGAACUGGACGCGUCUACAGAGACUUAAGCAGUGCUGACACAGGGAGAGACCAUCCCAAACCUAUAGGGGCUCAUGCUACCGGCCCUUCUCGUCACGGAUUUGAACGUGGUCCAGGUCCAGUAAUUCGCCAUCACGAAUAGAUUCAAGAAACACUCCAUACCGAUGAACCUUUUAUAUGCUUUAUAUUUUAAUAUACGUUUUUAGUUAAA
Molecule: long non-coding RNA, 476 nt
Organism: Diabrotica virgifera virgifera (western corn rootworm)
Lineage: Eukaryota; Metazoa; Arthropoda; Insecta; Coleoptera; Chrysomelidae
Exons: 3
Source: RefSeq, a predicted model, not a curated record